CGCCUUUUUCUUCUAAAAAGUUAUCUCUAUCCAUAACAUUCUUCGAGAAUCUACACUCAGAUGCAUAGUGUUCGAUCUUGUUGUAGUUGAAGCACUUGAUUUGUGAUUUGUCACACCUCGACCAUGAAUUUCCUCUUCCACGACCUCUUGUUUCUUAUGGAUUCACACUUAUUUCUCCAUUGUUAUAGUAGUUGUUGUAACCACAUCUUCCUUCUCCUCCA
This 221-nucleotide long non-coding RNA is filed under the name Lathyrus oleraceus (garden pea). RNAcentral's name for it is "Pisum sativum (pea) long non-coding RNA (PSAT_LNC021301)". Lineage: Eukaryota; Viridiplantae; Streptophyta; Magnoliopsida; Fabales; Fabaceae. The record is from RNAcentral.